This is a transfer RNA of 76 nucleotides. It matches the Rfam family "tRNA". From Rfam's summary of the family: Transfer RNA (tRNA) molecules are approximately 80 nucleotides in length. Their secondary structure includes four short double-helical elements and three loops (D, anti-codon, and T loops). Further hydrogen bonds mediate the characteristic L-shaped molecular structure. tRNAs have two regions of fundamental functional importance: the anti-codon, which is responsible for specific mRNA codon recognition, and the 3' end, to which the tRNAs corresponding amino acid is attached (by aminoacyl-tRNA synthetases). tRNAs cope with the degeneracy of the genetic code in two manners: having more than one tRNA (with a specific anti-codon) for a particular amino acid; and 'wobble' base-pairing, i.e. permitting non-standard base-pairing at the 3rd anti-codon position.
GGGCCAGUAGCUCAUCUGGUAGAGCGCCGCCCUUGCACGGCGGAGGCAGCGGGUUCAAGUCCUGUCUGGUCCACAA